This 460-nucleotide ribosomal RNA is filed under the name uncultured bacterium. Its description in RNAcentral is "partial 16S ribosomal RNA". It matches the Rfam family "Bacterial small subunit ribosomal RNA", at positions 338 to 795 of the family's 1533-position model. The record is from RNAcentral.
CCUACGGGUGGCAGCAGUGAGGAAUAUUGGUCAAUGGACGAGAGUCUGAACCAGCCAAGUAGCGUGAAGGAUGACUGCCCUAUGGGUUGUAAACUUCUUUUAUAAAGGAAUAAAACGAGGCACGUGUGCCUUUUUGUAUGUACUUUAUGAAUAAGGAUCGGCUAACUCCGUGCCAGCAGCCGCGGUAAUACGGGGGAUCCGAGCGUUAUCCGGAUUUAUUGGGUUUAAAGGGAGCGUAGAUGGGUUGUUAAGUCAGUUGUGAAAGUUUGCGGCUCAACCGUAAAAUUGCAAUUGAUACUGGCAGUCUUGAGUACAGUUGAGGUAGGCGGAAUUCGUGGUGUAGCGGUGAAAUGCUUAGAUAUCACGAAGAACCCCGAUUGCGAAGGCAGCUUACUAAACUGUGACUGACAUUGAUGCUCGAAAGUGUGGGUAUCAAACAGGAUUAGAUACCCUGGUAGUC